ACCUAUAUAAGCCGCCAUAGCCAAGCUGCACCGAUCGGCAUCGCAUCUGUACUUGCUAGCCGGCGCACCCUCUCUUUUAUCCACAUCAGCUCGGUCGAUCUGUGACCAUCUCAGUCGAGCUGCAUCUGCAGGUGUACUAGUAGUACACCUAAGCUGAGCUUGCGUAUACCACUGCACGUAUACGCACAUCAAAUUAAUCUGAAACUAAUUAAGUUAUCAGGUGCGGGGAGAGAACAAUCGACACGAUGGCUUCUGCUUUCUCAUCCACCGUUGGAGCUCCGGUACGUAUGACUAUGACCUACACUCAUGGUAGCUAAUCCUUAAUCCAGUGGACAGAACGUAUGUACAUCUACUCGCUAAGUUACUAACAACACACUCGGUAUUAACAAUACUCAUCGCCUCCUCUAAAUAUGGCUGACUUGCUACAUAUUUUCAGGUUUGAAUUGUUUUAUUUUGUACAAUUUCAAUAUAAUUUGUGAUCUUGCUUUGAGAUUUGGACGCGACAAGCAGGGCCUCCUCUAUGUGUUGACUCGGACAAGGUCAUCUUUUCCUCACACAUGCCUUCCGGGGCUUAUGAAGACUAGGGUGGAUGGCCGGCCGCCGUGGGGCGGAGGCUAUCAAAUGAGGUCAUUUGUGCUCGGUUUGCGCAUGACCAUACAUAAAUGUUGAGUUAGCACGACAAAGAUAAUGUAGGCAACACUAGCGACUGAUCCAUGAUGGUGUGGAUGGAAAAGAAUAGGAGGUGGUCUCGAGAUUUUCUUAAGGAGCAACUAGUGUGUACUUUAUUGAAUCACGACGCAAACUAUAAAUAGUGCGGGGUGAGGGUGGUGGCGGGGAGGGUUGAGAAAUGUGGGAAGUUGGUGGUUACACUCUUUAGAGGCUACAGGAGGUGGGGAACAAAGGUAGGAGCUAAAAAAGUCUCGAGUGAAGGCACAUGGUUGUCUAGCCCGUUUGUGAGAAUUUGAGUGACAUAUAGAUUCUCAAUCAGUUUGUCUCCCGCCUUCAAGAAGGGACUAAGUGAGGAGAAAACUAGAUCUAGAUCUAAUAAUCUUUAAAAAAAAAGUGAAUGGUCGACAUGAAGGAGGAAGGGAGAGGGAAGAAAGAUUGAACUUAGAUACAAUUAUUUAAAAAAACUGACUAAUGAAAUAUAUUUCUCAUUAUUCUCCAUCAGCAAGAACUUUUGGUUGAACUGGUUAAGCCGUUCUGUAAUCCAAUAUGUUAUUCAACCCAUGAGGCAUCAAUUUCAAGGCCCGGUAUGCAGAGGCGGACCUAGAAACUAUUUUGACUCGGGGCAAAACAUAAGAGUCGUGGUACAUUUUGUCUAAAUUCAUUGAGUUUUAGCAUUUCCCCUAGAAGUUAAACAAAUCAUAUUGAAAUUUCAUAUUUUAAGUGCGGUCCUGGCCCCCACUCCCCUCAACACGGGUCCACCCCUCCUGGUAUGAGUUGGAGCGUCGAAAUAUAUAUUCGACCUUCCGCCUCUCUUCACGGGCUCAAGCUUUUGAAUGAACUAAUUAAUUGUAUAUGACAUGCAAUUGAAUAGUGACUGAAGACUACAAAUGCCUAAUUCAACAAUUGAUACACUGUAGAAAACUUACGACCUCUUUGUAAAAAGUCUUCGUUUAUUGGGAAAGAAUCAAUAUAUUUUUAAUGUCGAAUCGGGAUUCACUAAGACAAAAUUCGUGGGAUUCCUAAAUCGUUGGAAUAGGAGAAACACGGGAAUGGACUGGCAUACCAUCUUCAAAACUUUUGACUUAGUAUAGUUGUUUGAUUGUGCAAGAAAACCAUAAAAUUCCUCACAUUAGGUUGGAGUGGAUGAAAAUUUUCCUACAAAAACUAGUACUCCCUUCGUCCCAAAAUAAGUAACUCAACUUUGUACUAACUUUGCUAAAGUUAUUAUAAAGUUGAGUCACUUAUUUGAAACGAAAGAAGUACAGAUGAAUCAUAAGAAGAAGAAAAAUCAUGUGAAUUGAAAUCCUACAAAUCAAACAACUCACAUAGAAAAAAAAUCCUAAGGAUUAGAAUGCUCCAAAUUUUUUUUGGGAAUCCUCUGAAUCAGAGAGGCAUAUUCAACCCAAGCGUGCAUCGUCUGCUAUUGAACCAAGUGAACCAACGUACAUGAAUCUGGUUGGGGCUGACCGUGUCAUACUUGUGCAGGCGUCGACCCCGACCACCUUCCUCGGGAAGAAGGUGAAGAAGCAGGCCGGUACGUUGAACUACUACCAUGGUGGCAACAAGAUCAACAGUAGGGUGGUCAGGGCCAUGGCGGCCAAAAAGGAACUUGACGAGGGCAAGCAGACCGAUGCCGAUCGGUGGAAGGGUCUCGCUUAC
RNAcentral lists this long non-coding RNA (2328 nucleotides) under Triticum aestivum (bread wheat). Its description in RNAcentral is "long non-coding RNA (TAES_LNC004248)". The record is from RNAcentral. Lineage: Eukaryota; Viridiplantae; Streptophyta; Magnoliopsida; Poales; Poaceae.